GCUAGUGUGGCCGAGCGGUCUAUGGUGCUAGAUUAAGGCUCCAGUCUCUUCGGGGGCGUGGUUUCGAUUCCCACCACUGCCA
This 82-nucleotide transfer RNA is filed under the name Ameiurus melas (black bullhead). It matches the Rfam family "tRNA". Rfam says of the family: Transfer RNA (tRNA) molecules are approximately 80 nucleotides in length. Their secondary structure includes four short double-helical elements and three loops (D, anti-codon, and T loops). Further hydrogen bonds mediate the characteristic L-shaped molecular structure. tRNAs have two regions of fundamental functional importance: the anti-codon, which is responsible for specific mRNA codon recognition, and the 3' end, to which the tRNAs corresponding amino acid is attached (by aminoacyl-tRNA synthetases). tRNAs cope with the degeneracy of the genetic code in two manners: having more than one tRNA (with a specific anti-codon) for a particular amino acid; and 'wobble' base-pairing, i.e. permitting non-standard base-pairing at the 3rd anti-codon position. The record is from Rfam by way of RNAcentral. Lineage: Eukaryota; Metazoa; Chordata; Actinopteri; Siluriformes; Ictaluridae.